This 253-nucleotide ribosomal RNA is filed under the name uncultured bacterium. Its description in RNAcentral is "partial 16S ribosomal RNA". It matches the Rfam family "Bacterial small subunit ribosomal RNA", at positions 524 to 776 of the family's 1533-position model. The record is from RNAcentral.
UACGUAGGGACCAAGCGUUGUUCGGAUUUACUGGGCGGAAAGGGCGCGUAGGCGGCGCGGUAAGUCACUUGUGAAAUCUCUGAGCUUAACUCAGAACGGCCAAGUGAUACUGCAGUGCUAGAGUGUGGAAGGGGCAAUCGGAAUUCUUGGUGUAGCGGUGAAAUGCGUAGAUAUCAAGAGGAACACCUGAGGUGAAGACGGGUUGCUGGGCCAACACUGACGCUGAGGCGCGAAAGCCAGGGGAGCAAACGGG